This 87-nucleotide transfer RNA is filed under the name Pantoea agglomerans. RNAcentral describes it as "tRNA-Leu". It matches the Rfam family "tRNA". Rfam says of the family: Transfer RNA (tRNA) molecules are approximately 80 nucleotides in length. Lineage: Bacteria; Pseudomonadati; Pseudomonadota; Gammaproteobacteria; Enterobacterales; Erwiniaceae. The record is from RNAcentral.
GCGAAGGUGGCGAAAUUGGUAGACGCGCUAGCUUCAGGUGUUAGUGUCUUAACGGACGUGAGGGUUCAAGUCCCUCUCUUCGCACCA